UCCCAGCCCCGCCCGCCCAGGCGGGUGAGCAGACAAACCUCUCGGCCUGACAAGGACGUGCUGUGUAACCAAGUGACCCAGAUUUCCCAGGAGCAGAUACUGGUGACAAGUGAGGAUGGAAAGCAACUCCGAGGCCUACCCUGGGCCUUGUGGUCCCAGCACAACCAGAAGUCCUGGAGGCGGAAUCCCUAAAGUUUUGCGAGGAAUUGUGAAAACCCUCCAGCUUUCUCCACAGUUACUCCAAAUUCCUCAGGUUCCUGGAGAUGAGGAAAAACCAAGAACAUCACUGAGCCCUUUCUGUAGGGAAGUAAGCACCAUGCUGUGAUGAACCCUGUGGAGAUGUCUAUGUGAGAACUCAAGGCUUGCCAGCAUCCACAUGAGUGAGCCUGGAAGUGGAUCUUCUUCCAACAGAUGCUUGAAAUGCCUGCAACCUUAUGAGAGACCCUGAGCCAGAGGACCCAGCUAAGACACACCUGGAUUCUUGACCCAUAGAGACUGACUAGUCCUCUUUCUGCAAGAUAGUCUCAUGAAGAACUUUCAAGGGAUAAUGAGACAAUGGACAAAGAAAUAAGGAGACACUCACCCCAGGAUGUCUGGACUUAGGGUUACACAGAGCCCAUCAAGAGAAUGGAUUAACAAUUCAAUGUGAAAGGAGAAAUACCAAUGAUGAAAAUCAGAAGAAUCAAAUUGAUGUCAUCCUGGGGAAGGGGAGGUUAAGGUGGUGGAACUUCCAACAAAGCACCUAAAGAGAUUGAGUCAUCCAAGAGACUUUAAAUCAGCCCUGACACGGAGUUGAACUUUAAAUGGACUGAAUAUUUAAAAACAUUGACACCUGAAAGGAACUCUUUAAACCUGAAGAAACUGAGGUAUUGUGAAUUGCAAGUUUCAGUUUCAUAACGACUUAGUGGAUGGGAUGGUUAAUGGGAAAGAUCAUUAGAGAAACUUUUUUCUUUACAUAUCUUUCUAUAGGUAACUAAGUACAGUGUAAAUUUGCUAUCCUACUAUAUAAAUCUCCUUUUUUCCUCCCUAUGUUAUUCAUUAGUCCAUUCUUCCAUUCACCCAUCCCAUUGAAUUGAUUUGUUGAAACUACUAAAUAAAAUAAUACAUGUUAUGAACCUAUCAGAAUGUGGGACAUGUAUACACAAUUUGUGUUAGCUACUACUACUACUAUUAUUAUUUGUAUAAUAUUGUCAUUAUUAUUAAUUUUCUGCAUACCAUAUAGUCUGUUUCCUAUGAGUUACUUCAGAAUCUCUAGUAAAUACAACUAUGGAGGAGAUGGCAAUGUAGAAAAGUUAUCAAUUUUUAUUUUAUCAUGUUUAAUGAGAAAAACGCCAUCAAUUAACUUCACUCAAAAAAAACUUUAAAAAAUCAUAUCUGUGAAUAUAGCCAAUAUUUUAUAGUAACUAUAAAUGGAGUACAACUUUUAAAAAUUGUGAGUCACAAUGUUGUAGACCUGAAACUUACAUAUAAUAUUGUACAUCAACUCUACCUCAAUCAAAAAAAAAAAAACUAGCAAUAUAACACUGGCCAAAUUAAAAAAAAAUUAUACCUGUGAAUUUAAGAAUAUUGUAGACACUAUUGCUAUUCAAAUGAAUAAAACUCAGCUUCCGACAAGUAAAGCUUGCAUUGUUGUUGGAAUAAAGUAAAACAUACAUUUAAGUUCCAUAAAGUGUUAGGUUUGUUACACUAGAAAUAUGCUUAGGGUUUCAGUUAUGGGUUAAAAAGAGGAAGUGCUCAGUUUUAACUGGGCAAGAGGGUCAGGAUAAGAAUUAAGAGAAGAGGGGAAAUUUGGGAACAUCUUGAACAGUAGUGAAGUGGCUGAGCGGGGAUGGGUAUUCCACACAGAGGGAACCGAGUCCACAAAGGCAUAGGCAGGAAAUAAUUUCAUGUGCUGAUGAGUUGAGAGCAUAGAGUGGGACAGGAUAGGAGUGUGGCAACAAAGGAGGCUGAAUUACUAAUCCAUUAAUCCAUUCAGCAGAUAGCUCUCUACUGUUUGCCCUGUCAGGCAUGGAAGGUGCUGGGGAUACAGUGAUGGUCUCUGCUUUGAUGGACUCACAUUCUGAAUAAUCACAGUCUUCUUCUAUGGGAAACGGGGCUUUGUUGAAGGGGGAAUGACUUUAUUUUUAUUGUAGGAAGGUCACUUGGUGGCCGUGUGAAGCAGUGUUUGAAGGGGGCACAAAUGAGGAUGGACAGACUAGAUGAUAGACGGACUAGAGGUAGAUGAUCAUUUACUAAUUCAAAUGAGAGGAGCUGACGCCACUAGAAGCAAGAACAGAAAGAAGUAAGCUUUGAUAACUAGCUUGAAUCUAUUAAGUCUUGGUGACUACUUGGACCUGGGGUGUAAAAGAGAGGGUAAAACUUGAAUGGCCCAGAGUUCUCUGACUUGUGUGAAAGGUGAUACACUCACUGAGUUUGUUGUCUCACCUGCUUUUCUAGACAAGCUAGAGCCUUGGGUGCUGAGCCUGGGCUGGGACCUGAUGCUCUAGGAACUGAGGCUGGAAGGGGUAUAUUUAGAGUGAGUGGUGGGGGUGGACGGGAUUUGGUGAACAGGGGUGGCAUAACUUGCCCUUGGGCUGCAGCAUGUGAAACUAAAUGGGAGUGUUCCAGACGGCUCCAAGCUGUUCAAGGGGACUAAGAAGGGGACCUUUAGCUAUGAGGCUAUGGGUCUAAGGCAGGCAGUGGAGGAGCUCUCAAGGAAGGCUGUGAAAAAGCCACAGGAAAUCCAAAAGAACAUCUGCAUGUCACCAGCUCUGGUUCUAUUCCAGCCUGGGUACCUAAUCCCAUGAGCUAGUACUGAUAACUAAGGGAUGAAACAGUAUUCCUAUGAAAGCUCAUUUUUAGUUAUUCUUUAGCAAUCUGGCUUUGGCUCCCCUUGGUUUCGUCCAAAUCCAGUAACUUCCAUCACUCAUUCUAAACAUACCUCCAACCUCAGCUCUGGAAACCUCUCAUGGACUUAGAUACAGCCAUGGAGUAUCUGCUCCAACUUUAUCACUCACUUGAAGUGGGCAGAUGGAAUUAAGUGCUCCACAAGGGGUCUUCAUAGCAAAAGCUGUGUUUUGGGGGAAUUAUGGACAUACAAAGAAAUGUUGGAUCAUUUUUUUCUAUUUUAUUAUUUUUUCCGCUUUGCAUAAGUAUGAUGAAUCCUUUCCAGGUCCAGACAUCCCCUAUUUCUCAGGGGAUGUAAGGUGGUGACCCUGAUGAUGGCAGCUGCUUGGCCCUACCUUUAGACCUGGUUCUUCUAGAUGGCUCACCUCCUCCCAGAAGCAAUGAUAGCGUAACCAGAAGCUAAACUUCUUUAAAAAUUAAUUAAUCAAUUAAUUUGUAUUUGCUGAUGAGUACUAGCAGCACAUGAAAUCCUGUUUGAUGGUGUUUGUUGUCUUUCCUCAACUUCUUAGGACAGACCAAUGGUGCAUGAAGGAAAUUUAAGAAAUACAGGGUGAAAGUUAGGUUAAAGUCAGGAAGGGUGACUGAUAGAUCAA
Aethalodelphis obliquidens (Pacific white-sided dolphin) is the source of this 3479-nucleotide long non-coding RNA. RefSeq lists it as uncharacterized. The transcript has 7 exons. Lineage: Eukaryota; Metazoa; Chordata; Mammalia; Artiodactyla; Delphinidae. The record is from RefSeq and is a predicted model, not a curated record.